This 512-nucleotide ribosomal RNA is filed under the name uncultured bacterium. Its description in RNAcentral is "bacterial SSU rRNA". It matches the Rfam family "Bacterial small subunit ribosomal RNA", at positions 17 to 518 of the family's 1533-position model. The record is from RNAcentral.
UCCUGGCUUAGGAUGAACGCUAGCGGCAGGCCUAACACAUGCAAGUCGAGGGGCAGGCGAGGGGGUAGCAACUACCCCGCUGGCGACCGGCGGACGGGUGCGUAACGCGUAUGCAACCUACCCGUAACAGGGGAAUAACGGAGGGAAACCUCCACUAAUGCCCCAUAUAGUCAGGGGACCGCAUGGUUUCGUGACGAAAGCUUCGGUGGUUACGGACGGGCAUGCGUGGCAUUAGGCGGUUGGCGGGGUAACGGCCCACCAAACCUACGAUGCCUAGGGGAGCUGAGAGGCUAAUCCCCCACACUGGUACUGAGACACGGACCAGACUCCUACGGGAGGCAGCAGUGAGGAAUAUUGGUCAAUGGACGGAAGUCUGAACCAGCCAUGCCGCGUGAAGGAAGACGGCCCUAUGGGUUGUAAACUUCUUUUAGCCGGGAGUAAUAAGGCGCACGUGCUGCGCCGAUGAAAGUACCGGCGGAAUAAGCAUCGGCUAACUCCGUGCCAGCAGCCGC